UGCAGAAUCCCGUGAACCAUCGAGUCUUUGAACGCAAGUUGCGCCCGAAGCCAUUAGGCCGAGGGCACGUCUGCCUGGGUGUCACGC
This 87-nucleotide ribosomal RNA is filed under the name Crawfurdia sp. US:3540612. Its description in RNAcentral is "partial 5.8S ribosomal RNA". It matches the Rfam family "5.8S ribosomal RNA", at positions 73 to 154 of the family's 154-position model. Rfam says of the family: 5.8S ribosomal RNA (5.8S rRNA) is a component of the large subunit of the eukaryotic ribosome. It is transcribed by RNA polymerase I as part of the 45S precursor that also contains 18S and 28S rRNA. Lineage: Eukaryota; Viridiplantae; Streptophyta; Magnoliopsida; Gentianales; Gentianaceae. The record is from RNAcentral.